Long non-coding RNA from Melitaea cinxia (Glanville fritillary), 368 nucleotides. RefSeq lists it as uncharacterized. The transcript has 2 exons. Lineage: Eukaryota; Metazoa; Arthropoda; Insecta; Lepidoptera; Nymphalidae. The record is from RefSeq and is a predicted model, not a curated record.
UAUAUAUGUAAAGAAAAAAUAUUAUUUUCUUUACUUUAAAUAUUCCCUAUAUUUAUAAUUUAUAUAGACAACAUAGGAAACCUUUUUUAUUCGGUUUGUUAUAUCUGGUUGAUAGAUAAGAUUGUCUAGCUGUCACGACGAAACAAUUAUUGAUUAAUAUUUAAAAGAUAGUUAUUUAAGAAAUUAUUUGUGAUUUUGGAUUCGACACUGGAAUUAAUAACAUUAAAUGUCGUUUCUUUUAUUACAGAGAAACUCAAUUGUGUUUUAAUUGAUUGUGUCGUCUAAAUCACAAGAAAAUUUUAUCUUACAAAACGACAUUUCUUGUCAAAAAAAAAAAUAAAAAAAUGGAAAAGCUGAAAUUUUCAUUU